This 253-nucleotide ribosomal RNA is filed under the name uncultured bacterium. RNAcentral describes it as "partial 16S ribosomal RNA". It matches the Rfam family "Bacterial small subunit ribosomal RNA", at positions 524 to 776 of the family's 1533-position model. The record is from RNAcentral.
UACGUAGGGUGCAAGCGUUGUCCGGAAUUAUUGGGCGUAAAGAGCUCGUAGGCGGUUUGUUGCGUCGGCUGUGAAAUCCCGAGGCUCAACCUCGGGUCUGCAGUCGAUACGAGCAAACUAGAGUGUUGCAGGGGAGACUGGAAUUCCUGGUGUAGCGGUGAAAUGCGCAGAUAUCGGGAGGAACACCAAUGGCGAAGGCAGCUCGCUGGGACGGUACUGACGCUAAGGCGCGAAAGCGUGGGGAGCGAACAGG